Molecule: ribosomal RNA, 439 nt
Filed under: uncultured bacterium
Lineage: Bacteria
Description: partial 16S ribosomal RNA
Rfam family: Bacterial small subunit ribosomal RNA
Source: RNAcentral
AACGAACGCUGGCGGCAUGCCUAACACAUGCAAGUCGAACGAGACCUUCGGGUCGAGUGGCGCACGGGUGCGUAACGCGUGGGAACCUGCCCUUAGGUUCGGAAUAACUCCCCGAAAGGGGUGCUAAUACCGGAUAAUGUCUUCGUACCAAAGAUUUAUCGCCUUUGGAUGGGCCCGCGUUGGAUUAGCUUGUUGGUAGGGUAGGGGCCUACCAAGGCGACGAUGCAUAGCUGGUCUGAGAGGAUGAUCAGCCACACUGGGACUGAGAAACGGCCCAGACCCCUACGGGAGGCGGCAGGGGGGAGUAGUGAAUAAUGGGCGGAGGCCGGAUGCAGCAACGCCGAGUGCGGGGUGAGGGAAGUCGGGUUGGGGGUCGCAUUCAUCAGGGGCGAAGCUUGUGAUGACGGUACCUGCAGAAGAAGCACCGGCUAACUACGUG